Molecule: ribosomal RNA, 557 nt
Filed under: uncultured Bacteroidales bacterium
Lineage: Bacteria; Pseudomonadati; Bacteroidota; Bacteroidia; Bacteroidales
Description: bacterial SSU rRNA
Rfam family: Bacterial small subunit ribosomal RNA
Source: RNAcentral
AUAUUAAAGAAAUUCGGUAUGAGAUGGGGAUGCGUUCCAUUAGUUUGUUGGGGGGGUAACGGCCCACCAAGACUACGAUGGAUAGGGGUUCUGAGAGGAAGGUCCCCCACAUUGGAACUGAGACACGGUCCAAACUCCUACGGGAGGCAGCAGUGAGGAAUAUUGGUCAAUGGACGCGAGUCUGAACCAGCCAAGUAGCGUGAAGGAUGACUGCCCUAUGGGUUGUAAACUUCUUUUAUAUGGGAAUAAAGUUGUCCACGUGUGGAUUUUUGUAUGUACCAUAUGAAUAAGGAUCGGCUAACUCCGUGCCAGCAGCCGCGGUAAUACGGAGGAUCCGAGCGUUAUCCGGAUUUAUUGGGUUUAAAGGGAGCGUAGGCGGAUUGUUAAGUCAGUUGUGAAAGUUUGCGGCUCAACCGUAAAAUUGCAGUUGAUACUGGCAGUCUUGAGUGCAGUAGAGGUGGGCGGAAUUCGUGGUGUAGCGGUGAAAUGCUUAGAUAUCACGAAGAACUCCGAUUGCGAAGGCAGUUCACUGGAGUGUAACUGACGCUGAUGCUCGA